UCGAUGGGCAUACUUAGUACGGCGAGUGAGCGGUAAAAGCUCAAAUUUGAAAUCUGGUACUUUCAGUGCCCGAGUUGUAAUUUGUAGAAUUUGUCUUUGAUUAGGUCCUUGUCUAUGUUCCUUGGAACAGGACGUCAUAGAGGGUGAGAAUCCCGUUUGGCGAGGAUACCUUUUCUCUGUAAGACUUUUUCGAAGAGUCGAGUUGUUUGGGAAUGCAGCUCAAAGUGGGUGGUAAAUUCCAUCUAAAGCUAAAUAUUGGCGAGAGACCGAUAGCGAACAAGUACAGUGAUGGAAAGAUGAAAAGAACUUUGAAAAGAGAGUGAAAAAGUACGUGAAAUUGUUGAAAGGGAAGGGCAUUUGAUCAGACAUGGUGUUUUUUGCAUGCACUCGCCUCUCGUGGGCUUGGGCCUCUCAAAAAUUUCACUGGGCCAACAUCAAUUCUGGCAGCAGGAUAAAUCAUUAAGAAUGUAGCUACUUCGGUAGUGUUAUAGCUUUUUGGAAUACUGUUAGCCGGGAUUGAGGACUGCGCUUCGGCAAGGAUGUUGGCAUAAUGGUUAAAUGCCGCCCGUCUUGAACCACGGACCA
RNAcentral lists this ribosomal RNA (585 nucleotides) under Hanseniaspora uvarum. Its description in RNAcentral is "partial large subunit ribosomal RNA". It matches the Rfam family "Eukaryotic large subunit ribosomal RNA", at positions 65 to 668 of the family's 3401-position model. The record is from RNAcentral. Lineage: Eukaryota; Fungi; Ascomycota; Saccharomycetes; Saccharomycodales; Saccharomycodaceae.